Molecule: ribosomal RNA, 400 nt
Filed under: uncultured archaeon
Lineage: Archaea
Description: bacterial SSU rRNA
Rfam family: Archaeal small subunit ribosomal RNA
Source: RNAcentral
GGAAACUGAGGCUAAUCCCGGAUACGGCUCGCUGCCUGGAGUUGGCGCGAGCUCGAAACGUUCAGGCGCGACAGGAUGUGGCUGCGGCCGAUUAGGUAGAUGGUGGGGUAACGGCCCACCGUGCCGAUAAUCGGUACGGGUUGUGAAAGCAAGAGCCCGGAGACGGAAUCUGAGACAAGAUUCCGGGCCCUACGGGGCGCAGCAGGCGCGAAACCUUUACACUGCACGCGAGUGCGAUAGGGGGACUCCAAGUGCGAGGGCAUACAGUCCUCGCUUUUUGCGACCGUAAGGUGGUCGCGGAAUAAGUGCUGGGCAAGACCGGUGCCAGCCGCCGCGGUAAUACCGGCAGCACGAGUGAUGACCGCUAUUAUUGGGCCUAAAGCGUCCGUAGCUACUUUCC